This 449-nucleotide ribosomal RNA is filed under the name uncultured bacterium. RNAcentral describes it as "partial 16S ribosomal RNA". It matches the Rfam family "Bacterial small subunit ribosomal RNA", at positions 28 to 523 of the family's 1533-position model. The record is from RNAcentral.
GACGAACGCUGGCGGCGUGCUUAACACAUGCAAGUCGAACGCAUCCUUCGGGGUGAGUGGCAGACGGGUGAGUAACGCGUGGGAACGUGCCCUUCAGUUCGGGAUAACCCAGGGAAACUUGGGCUAAUACCGGAUACGUGCGAGAGCAGAAAGAUUUAUCGCUGAAGGAUCGGCCCGCGUCUGAUUAGCUAGUUGGUGGGGUAAUGGCCCACCAAGGCGACGAUCAGUAGCUGGUCUGAGAGGAUGAUCAGCCACAUUGGGACUGAGACACGGCCCAAACUCCUACGGGAGGCAGCAGUGGGGAAUAUUGGACAAUGGGCGCAAGCCUGAUCCAGCCAUGCCGCGUGAGUGAUGAAGGCCUUAGGGUUGUAAAGCUCUUUCGUCCGGGACGAUAAUGACGGUACCGGAAGAAGAAGCCCCGGCUAACUUCGUGCCAGCAGCAGCCGCUG